RNAcentral lists this ribosomal RNA (310 nucleotides) under uncultured bacterium. Its description in RNAcentral is "partial 16S ribosomal RNA". It matches the Rfam family "Bacterial small subunit ribosomal RNA", at positions 503 to 807 of the family's 1533-position model. The record is from RNAcentral.
AAGAGACAGCAGUCGCCGCGGGAAUACGUAGGUGGCAAGCGUUGUCCGGAAUUAUUGGGCGUAAAGCGCGCGCAGGUGGUUUAAUAAGUCUGAUGUGAAAGCCCACGGCUCAACCGUGGAGGGUCAUUGGAAACUGUUUAACUUGAGUGCAGGAGAGAAAAGUGGAAUUCCUAGUGUAGCGGUGAAAUGCGUAGAGAUUAGGAGGAACACCAGUGGCGAAGGCGGCUUUUUGGCCUGUAACUGACACUGAGGCGCGAAAGCGUGGGGAGCAAACAGGAUUAGAUACCCCAGUAGUCCCUGUCUCUUAUAC